AGAGCGUAUGGUGGAUGCCUUGGCAUCAGGCGCCGAAGAAGGACGUGACAAGCUGCGAAAAGCUACGGGGAGUUGCAAAUGAACAUUGAUCCGUAGAUAUCCGAAUGCGGGAACGCACCUUAUAGAGAUAUAAGGUAUCGUUACAUGAACACAUAGUGUAACGAGGGGAACCCGGGGAACUGAAACAUCUAAGUACCCGGAGGAAGAGAAAGUAAAACAACGAUUACCUAAGUAGUGGCGAGCGAACGGGUAAGAGCCUAAACCUCAUAUAGAAAUAUGUGAGGGGUUUGGACUCACGCAAAGUUAAUCACGGAAAUAGACGAAGAGCGUUGGAAAGCGCAGCUAAAGAGCGUAAAAGCCGCGUAGUCGAAAUAGAAGUGAUGACGAGUGAAGAUCCAGAGUACCAUCGAGCACGAGAAAUUCGGUGGGAAGGAGGGAGGCCCAUCUCCUAAGGCUAAAUACGACCUGAUGACCGAUAGAGUAUAGUACCGUGAGGGAAAGGUGAAAAGCACCCCGGGAGGGGAGUGAAAGAGAACCUGAAACCGUAUGCUUACAAGCAGAGAGAGCGCAACGACUUCGGUCAAGCGUGAUCUCGUACUUUUUGUAGAACGGGCCGGCGAGUUACGAUGUGUUGCGAGGUUAAGGUAUAAAGUACCGGAGCCGAAGCGAAAGCGAGUCUGAAGUGGGCGAGUUAGUAGCAUGUCGUAGACCCGAAACCAGAUGAUCUAUCCAUGAGCAGGAUGAAGCAGAAGUAAAAUUUUGUGGAGGUCCGAACCGACCCCUGUUGAAAUAGUGGCGGAUGACUUGUGGUUAGCGGAGAAAUUCCAAUCGAACCCGGAUAUAGCUGGUUCUCCUCGAAAUAGCUUUAGGGCUAGCCUCAACGUGAGAAUAUCGGGGGUAGAGCACUGAAUGGGCUAGGGGCCUUCGCGGGUUACCGAACCUUAUCAAACUGCGAAUACCGAAUAUUUAUAGUUGGGAGUCAGACGGCGUGAGAUAAGUUUCGUCGUCAAAAGGGAAACAGCCCAGAUCUACAGCUAAGGUCCCCAAGUUAAGGUUAAGUGGUAAAGGAUGUGGCAUUGCACAGACAACCAGGAUGUUGGCUUAGAAGCAGCCACACAUUCAAAGAGUGCGUAAUAGCUCACUGGUCGAGUGACGCUGCGCCGAAGAUUCCCGGGGCUAAAACCUUACACCGAAGCUUAGGAUUCAUAGAGAUAUGAGUGGUAGAGGAGCAAUGUAUGCGCGCAGAAGCCGUAUCGAAAGGGGCGGUGGAGUGCAUACAAGAGAGAAUGCCGGCAUAAGUAGCGAGAGAGAAGUGAGAAACUUUUCCGUCGAAAGCCUAAGGUUUCCUGGGGAAGGUUCGUCCGCCCAGGGUAAGUCGGGACCUAAGUUGAGGCCGAAAGGCGUAGAUGAUGGACAACGGGUAGAUAUUCCCGUACCACCGCAAUAGUUCGAAGCAGGGACACAGAAGGAUAGUCGGACUCCGGGGAUGGAAAGCCGGGGCUAAGUCAUGAGGCCGGCACGUAGUGAAGUACGCGUGUCGCGAGGCUGGGUGACGAUGGGGAGCGAAAACUAGUAGCGAAGCCGAUGAAUUCACGCUGGCGAGAAAAACUGCUAAGGUAGAUAUUGAGGUGCCCGUACCGCAAACCGACACAGGUAGGCGGCAAGAGAAUUGCAAGACGAACGGGAUAACCAUUGGUUAAGGAACUCGGCAAAAUGACCCCGUAACUUAGGGAGAAGGGGAGCCUAGCGAUAGGUCGCAGUGAAAAGGCCCAGGCGACUGUUUAUCAAAAACACAGGUCUCUGCAAAAGCGUAAGCUGAAGUAUAGGGGCUGACGCCUGCCCGGUGCUGGAAGGUCAAGGGGAAGAGUUAGGAGAAAAUCCGAAGCUUAGAACUUAAGCCCCAGUGAACGGCGGCCGUAACUAUAACGGUCCUAAGGUAGCGAAAUUCCUUGUCAGGUAAGUUCUGACCCGCAUGAAUGGCGUAACGAUUUGGGCGCUGUCUCAACCAUGGACCCGGCGAAAUUGUAGUAUAUGUGAAGAUGCAUAUUACCUGCGACUGGACGGAAAGACCCCGUAGAGCUUCACUGUAAGUUGAUAUUGAAUUUCGGUAAUAAAUGCACAGGAUAGGUGGGAGGCUGAGAAGAUGCUGCUUCGGCAGUAUCGGAGCCGACGUUGGGAUACCACCCUUUUGUUACUGGACUUCUAACGCUAUGCGCUGAGUCGCGGUGGCGGACAUUGUCAGCUGGACAGUUUGACUGGGGCGGUCGCCUCCUAAAGAGUAACGGAGGCGUUCAAAGGUUCCCUCAGGAUGGUUGGAAACCAUUCACAGAGUAUAAAGGCAGAAGGGAGCUUGACUGCGAGACCAACAAGUCGAGCAGAUACGAAAGUAGGACUUAGUGAUCCGGCGGUAGAGAAUGGAAUUGCCGUCGCUUAACGGAUAAAAGUUACCUCGGGGAUAACAGGCUUAUCUCUCCCAAGAGUUCACAUCGACGGGGAGGUUUGGCACCUCGAUGUCGGCUCGUCACAUCCUGGGGCUGUAGCAGGUCCCAAGGGUUCGGCUGUUCGCCGAUUAAAGUGGCACGCGAGCUGGGUUCAGAACGUCGUGAGACAGUUCGGUCCCUAUCCAUCGUGGGCGUAGGAUAUUUGAAAGGAUCUGUCCCUAGUACGA
This 2668-nucleotide ribosomal RNA is filed under the name human gut metagenome. RNAcentral's name for it is "bacterial LSU rRNA". It matches the Rfam family "Bacterial large subunit ribosomal RNA". The record is from RNAcentral.